CACGUAGUUAGCCGGGGCUUCUUCUGCAGGUACCGUCAUUAUCUUCCCUGCUGAAAGCGGUUUACAACCCGAAAGCCUUCACCCCGCACGCGGCGUUGCUGCGUCAGGGUUUCCCCCAUUGCGCAAUAUUCCCCACUGCUGCCUCCCGUAGGAGUCUGGGCCGUAUCUCAGUCCCAAUGUGGCCGAUCGACCUCUCAGUCCGGCUACCCAUCGCAGGCACGGUGAGCCACUACCUCACCGUCUACCUAAUGGGCCGCGACCCCAUCUCAUGCCGCGAAGCUUUCCUUGCAUCUCCAUGCGAAGUUGCAAGAGUAUCCGGUAUUAGGCUGCCGUUUCCAGCAGUUACUCCCGAUGCAGUGAGGCAGGUUGUCACGUGUUACUCUACCCGUUCGCCACGUCUAUCGACCACCGAGGUGGGUUAAUCGUUCGAUUGCAUGUGUUAGCACGCCGCAGCGUU
This 457-nucleotide ribosomal RNA is filed under the name uncultured Coriobacteriaceae bacterium. RNAcentral describes it as "partial 16S ribosomal RNA". Lineage: Bacteria; Bacillati; Actinomycetota; Coriobacteriia; Coriobacteriales; Coriobacteriaceae. The record is from RNAcentral.